RNAcentral lists this ribosomal RNA (549 nucleotides) under uncultured bacterium. RNAcentral describes it as "bacterial SSU rRNA". It matches the Rfam family "Bacterial small subunit ribosomal RNA", at positions 356 to 896 of the family's 1533-position model. The record is from RNAcentral.
AGGGAAUCUUCCGCAAUGGGCGAAAGCCUGACGGAGCAACGCCGCGUGAGUGAUGAAGGUCUUCGGAUCGUAAAACUCUGUUAUUAGGGAAGAACAAACGUGUAAGUAACUGUGCACGUCUUGACGGUACCUAAUCAGAAAGCCACGGCUAACUACGUGCCAGCAGCCGCGGUAAUACGUAGGUGGCAAGCGUUAUCCGGAAUUAUUGGGCGUAAAGCGCGCGUAGGCGGUUUUUUAAGUCUGAUGUGAAAGCCCACGGCUCAACCGUGGAGGGUCAUUGGAAACUGGAAAACUUGAGUGCAGAAGAGGAAAGUGGAAUUCCAUGUGUAGCGGUGAAAUGCGCAGAGAUAUGGAGGAACACCAGUGGCGAAGGCGACUUUCUGGUCUGUAACUGACGCUGAUGUGCGAAAGCGUGGGGAUCAAACAGGAUUAGAUACCCUGGUAGUCCACGCCGUAAACGAUGAGUGCUAAGUGUUAGGGGGUUUCCGCCCCUUAGUGCUGCAGCUAACGCAUUAAGCACUCCGCCUGGGGAGUACGACCGCAAGGUUG